This 72-nucleotide transfer RNA is filed under the name Camelus bactrianus (Bactrian camel). It matches the Rfam family "tRNA". From Rfam's summary of the family: Transfer RNA (tRNA) molecules are approximately 80 nucleotides in length. Their secondary structure includes four short double-helical elements and three loops (D, anti-codon, and T loops). RNAcentral also lists the same sequence under 2 other names. Lineage: Eukaryota; Metazoa; Chordata; Mammalia; Artiodactyla; Camelidae. The record is from Rfam by way of RNAcentral.
GAGGGUAUAGCUCAGUGGUAGAGAGCAUGCCUAGCAUGCAUGAGGUCCUGGGUUCAAUCCCCAGUACCUCCA